CUUCGCAUUCAAACAGCAAGGGAGGGGAACGGGAGCUUGGAACCUGGCAGAUUCUAUGCUCAGAUACCACCUGGAAACCAUGUGACAACCUCAUUAGACAGAGAGAUCCAAAAAAUAGAGGGAAAGCCCAGAUGUAUGUGGAUCCCCCAGGAGUUAGCAGGGUUCUGUCAUGUCUCCACCAGGCCAGAGACAAUGCCAGCUGCCAGGGGUGCUGAUUGCAUCACCGUGCGCAUGCAGAGCGCUCAGUGGAGCCUUUAGACACUGGACGGGCCAUCCCAGCAGGAGUGCGGCACUGCACUGCUAAGAUAGUCUCUCUUUUUGAAAUUGAAGCCAGUUGUCUGAUGGGGCGACAGAUCUAGGACUGACACCCUCGGUGUAAAUACAGAGCAGGUUCAGUACUAGCAAUAGCCAGGCCUCCUUUCCCCGCACCAUUUCACACCCCUCGCACCUGCUGAAGUGCCACCCUCAACCCUGCCCUGGAGUGGCCCCACCCCCAGCUAAAGGGCAAUAUUAACGCUGUGCACCGUCUGUGCAGUGACUCCGAGCAGGAUGUCUCAGAUAGUCAUUUCCCCCUGGAGGGCUGGAUUGAUCCGGGGAGAUACUUUGGAGCCCUGCGGUCCUGAGCCAAAGCCCCUGGAAGUCAGAAGGAGGCUUUCCAUUGACUUCGACGGGCUUCGAACCAGGCCCCGGAGAAGGAAGUGUAUGACCCUUGUGGCUUGGAGAUUGAUGCUCAAACCUUUCCCGAUCGAGGGCCGCACCGCGGCAUGCUGCCUGGAACAGAGUGCAGCCGAGCCCGCCUUUAAUAUGAAGGGACCUGCCUGCAGUGCUCCAUGCUCUGGGAGCUGCAGGCUUUGCGGGCCGCUGCACCGUACGUGGGCUGGAUUGCAGAACGCCAUGGGCAGCACCGGGCAGGCAGGGAGUUGAUUAACUCCCACAGCCCUCUCCCGCUCUGAGGCUCCUGCCCAGUGGAGAGUGCCUGGAGGUAGCUCAGGUAGGCUGCAGUCAGUGCUCUGUUUCAAUGCCCGAUGCCGGACAGGGCUGGAAAACUGCUGCCUUUCCCUGGGCUCAGCUCUGCCGUAACCAGCCCCGUCCCCUCCUGGCACGGCACAGGUCACCUGAGGCGGCUCUAGCUCUGGCUCUGACUCAGUCCUGAGUGCGCUGGCCAAGAAGAUGCAGCAGGCACAGGGUUAACUCCCAUCUCCGAUCACUCACAGGCAGUAACAAAGCAGGACUAGGGACGAUGGCCCAAUCCGGCCCUAGAUGGGACAGCACACCACACCCUGGAGGUGUGUGGGUUACAUGGGCUGCCGGCUGAGUGUGAGGUGGGCUGUGUUAGAGCCUCUGCUUCUGUAAAAACGCUGCUUAUUUCGUUAUACCCCCUGCACACUGUGGAUUUUAGGCGCCUGGCUGCAUUGGGAUUCUGUGGGGGAAUUCUGGCUCACCUAGGAGGGGUGCUUCUGGCUGGUUGGAGCAUGAGCCGAGCCCUCUAGGGAGGUUCCCAGUAGCAGUAACUGGGUGUCAUGUCUCUGUUGCCCAAGAGGAUUGUGUCCAGCCCACUGGGACCCCUUGUGCAUGUGGACGGGGCUGGGCAAAACCCAAGUCCCUGAAGGCUCAGGAAUAAAGCCUUGGCAUAAAUCCGGCUGGGUGGGAGACCUGUCUGAGCUGUAACCCUGAAUAGCCUCCCUCCAAGGGCAGAGGUUGUCUGGCUCCAGAGGGACUCUCUUCACUUCUGCACUCACUCCAGCCAGAUGGGCUGGAUACUCACUGGUUGUGUAGCUCUUUACAGCUCUGCUUAAUUAACCUGUAAAGCGAAAGGGCCUUUGGGAGUUCAGCUGUAGAUGUUCUUUGACGCUGUCAGUGAGCUGCAGUGACCGAGAAGAGCUGAUUUAAUUAAGGCACCAACCCUUCCGGCGGCGGGGGGGAGCCAGUGGCUGAACCCAGGGUGGAGCACUCCCCAUGGCUUGGUGACAAUGAGCCCUGGGGUGCUGUGAGGUCUGUGUAUGGGAGACAGGGACAGGCAUGCUGGGACAGGGGGGUCCCAGUUACAGCCGUGCAAUCAGCAGUAAUACAGGUUCCAGUGCAGGUGGGCUUCCACUUGCCAGAAGUUUUCCUGUAAGUUUCAGGUUCAGAAAACCAAGACAACUGGCCAACUCCCCAUCCCCUACGGUUGGACUCCUAGAAAGAAACAUGCCAGUGGUGAGGGAGAUGGUCCAUGGCUGCCAACUUCAGCAAAUCAUGGGUUGGGGCUUCAAGUUUUGCCUGGUUUCAAGACCUGCUAGAAAAGUUUCACCCGGCUCUAGGCCUCAGCAGCUUUGCAAAUCAUUUCCCCGCUGUGUGCUGCAUUACAGGGGUUCCUCUGCCCCUCCGCUCCCCCGUGUCCCCAACUCAGCACUGCCCUGCAGCACCUCUACUCUCCCCUUCUCCCUCUGAGCCCUUCCUCCACGCAGGGCGGGUAAGUAUCAUUUCUGUUAGUAUUUCACCUCUCAUUUUCUGUUGAUCAGUUCCUGCUGAUUCCAUUAGCAGCUUGGCUGGGUAAAAGCUGAGUUAUUAAAGCACAGAAAUUUCCCUGCAACUGUCACUCUACCCAGAGGCCUGUCCUAAAGACAAAGAGGAUGAACUGAGAAUUAACCAGCACCCUGAAUUAAGGCAAUUAGGAGUGCCUGACAUAUAAUAGCAGGAUUGUUCUGAAUCAUUUCUCUCUCCAAACCUUCAUUGCUAAGAGAUGUGAGAUUUUGUUUCAAAAUGAAUUCCCUGCUAAAGAAAUU
This is an RNA transcript of Mauremys reevesii (Reeves's turtle), 2765 nucleotides long. It is a transcript of the gene named transmembrane protein 88B, with no coding region annotated. The transcript is spliced from 5 exons. The record is from RefSeq and is a predicted model, not a curated record. Lineage: Eukaryota; Metazoa; Chordata; Testudines; Geoemydidae.